Long non-coding RNA from Homo sapiens (human), 1535 nucleotides. The record is from Ensembl. Lineage: Eukaryota; Metazoa; Chordata; Mammalia; Primates; Hominidae.
ACUGGCAAGGAGGUGGUAGCAGGAAAUAGGCAUGUGGUGACUUCAGUAACAGAGACGACUGCAGGGCUGACCUAAGCUUAGUAGCCUGGCUUCUCCGGGAGCUGAGGGUGAGCAUCAUGCCUGCUCCAUCUCCCUCUUUGUUGUGGAUAAGGCAGGGUCAUCAAGACAGGAGGAUAUGAGGCAGAAUCACCACACAAGCUAACCUGAUGUACAUAUGACAUUAAUCCAAUAGACUUAGGAAUAAGAUACAGGGGGUUUUCCUGAAUGAUUCGAGUAUAUCCCCAUUCAUAUUAAGAAAACAAAGUAUUGGCCAAGCGUGGUGGCUCACGCCUGUAAUCCCGGCACUUUGGAAGGCCGAGGCCAGUGGAUCACCUGAGAGCCUGCCUGGAGCAACCAGAUGGACUCAACGACUCUCUUACCGUCCAGCUCUCAAGUCCCUUCUCUUGUGAAAAUGGAAAAGUUGAACUACAGUUGAGAUAUUAUUCCCAGGUGUUCUUUGGAACACAGGGGAUUUCUCCAAAAGGCACAGAACAAAUUGCCUCCAAACAGCCAAGAUUCCAGCAGAAGCUGGAGUAGCAGACUACUUGGAUCUUCAAAGUACCUGGCCCUGAGUCAGUUAAGGAAGAUCUUUUCUUCUCUUUUGUACAAUCCUAUGAUGAGAGCUGCAAAGUGAACUGACUAAGAGCUUCUGCCUUGAUCAUUGACCUCCCAAUCCUAAUAAUAUGUUCACUGGCCAAACUUCCUAAUCGAUUUGUCUUUUGGAUAUAACGUUCCUCCUACUGUUUGCCUGAUUGAGAAAUCUGCUACAGAACAUGACCGGUUAGCAUUCCCACCAACCCCAGUGCUACACUGACUGUCUUUCGAUGGACUUUGCUCCUUGCUGCCUCUCUGAGGUCCCAGACCUUCAGAGUGACCUUCACAGCUCUGCCUAACUUUCUGUCAUACUUCUAUCAAGAGAGACAGCUAAAUCAAUAUUUUUAAUGUGCUUUGCUGUCGGAAUUCGAUGAUCUGUCACAGUUCUUGCCCAAUACACCCCAUCAUUAUUGUUAAAAUGUUUUUAGCUUUGUUUGUAGAAUUGCUUUAACUGGUUUCAUCUCUGGGAGCUACACUUUGAAAUAUAACUUUAGCAACAUUUUACUAUACUUUUUCACAACCCAGAGCAGUACUAUUUUAUGCUUAGUGGUUAAACUAAUUCCAUAAAUCUUUUGCAACUAUCCUCUAUUCUUUUUCUUGUAAUUUUUACCUGGGAAGGUUUUUACUGAUAAUCAUCCUAUCCUGAGUCAUCCCACAAACCAAUCUGUCUCACUAAUCAUUGCUUCUAACCUACAGACUAAGCAUAACUUCUGCUAAAUGAUCUUUGAUAAGAUGCUAUGACUCUAUAAAGUCUUUGAUAUUCAUGUCUAAAUUUAAUCACUUGUAGAUUUUCAUAGAAUCAAUCUUUCACUUCUACAAUUGGGAGUAUUUAUAAGUUGUUUAUCUUAAACAGUUCCUCUAUCACGCUUUUCACGUUAAAUAAAGCAAUCCCUUCAAAUCAA